GAGAAAUCUCGCGUCAUUUUUGGUUCGGAGAUAGACGAGCGGGGUGUGGCCAAUUUAGGUCAGGCUUGGAGAUUAGACCUCGUUUUUAUUUUAAAAUAUGUGAAUUUCGAAGUAUGGAUCACCAAACUUAUUUAGGAGUGUUUGGGAAGAAAUAAGGAAUCAAUCCAAUGGGGUUUUCAGCAUAAAAUCAUCGCCAUAUGCCACUCAUGUGAAAACUUAAAAACACCUCAAACCACCGAGAGGCCAAUCUCCAACCAUAAGUCACUGGGAGUAUGUCAUUGGGAACAAGCUUUUGCAGCGUUCCAGCUCCAUCUUCGUCUGGACACCUAGACCUACAGGAGGCAUGAUUUGGUACCAUCCUGGUGCUUAUUCAAGGGGAUGCAGCAGCAACCUUUUAGGAGUCGUUUGGGUUUGUUUGGGAACAAUUAGUUUGUGAUUUGAGUAACUAUUGCGUUUUAUAUCUCAAACAUUUAGUGGAUGCACUAUGUUGAUUAAUUUUUUUUUAAGAUUUAGCUUACUUUUUCAUUAAACAUAUUGAAAUCUUAAUGCAUUUAGUUCCCAACCUGUUGUAUCUAUGGUAAAUUACUUGCUCACAAGGUAAUAAGCCUCAGAAAAUUAGGUUUUAUACUUUAUUAUUGGUUUGAUAUUUAUUGUGUAAUAUUACUUGCUUGUUUCCCAGAUAUUUUAUUGUUUAUUCGCUUUAUUCCAUUUGUUCGGUUAAUUCAGUCGUCGUUUAGGUAUUCAUCUUAACUUCAUUAUUAUAACUUUCAAUUUGGAUAUUUAAUUUUGCUUAAUUCAUUGUAUUGUAUUUUGACUUAGUCAUAGUCAGGCUUGUGCCUGCUGUUUUAUAUUAUUAGUCAUAUUUUUCGGGUUUUAAUUUAGUUGUACGUAGCAAGCGUACUAUAACCAUUUGGUGAAUGUAGUCUCAUGUGCGUUGUACCCUAUAUAUAAGUAAGAGGUAUAUAAUUUUGUAAUAUAUAACAUGACUGUUGUUAUAUUAGAUAUGCAUAAUAGUACAAAACAAUAACUUUUGUCAUUUUAGAGUCACAUAAUAUGCAUUUGGUUUAACUCCGAAAUUGUUAAAGAUCUAGUAGUUAUUUUUAAUACAUAUUUACUUAUUUUUUAUAUCAUU
RNAcentral lists this long non-coding RNA (1132 nucleotides) under Diabrotica virgifera virgifera (western corn rootworm). RNAcentral's name for it is "uncharacterized LOC114340935". The record is from RNAcentral. Lineage: Eukaryota; Metazoa; Arthropoda; Insecta; Coleoptera; Chrysomelidae.